AUAAACCGACGGUAUUGUUCAGAUCCUGGCUUGCCAACAGGAGUUCCCCGCGCCAGCGGGG
This 61-nucleotide unclassified non-coding RNA is filed under the name Escherichia coli. RNAcentral describes it as "strain ECOR44 cluster 1 CRISPR region from Escherichia coli (PDB 4TVX, chain X)". The record is from RNAcentral. RNAcentral also lists the same sequence under 1 other name. Lineage: Bacteria; Pseudomonadati; Pseudomonadota; Gammaproteobacteria; Enterobacterales; Enterobacteriaceae.